UACGUAGGUGGCGAGCGUUGUCCGGAUUUAUUGGGCGUAAAGCGCGCGCAGGUGGUGCGGUAAGUCUGUCGUGAAAUCUCCUGGCUCAACUGGGAGGGUGCGGUGGAGACUGCCGGACUGGAGGCACUCAGAGGCCGGUGGAAUUCCCGGUGUAGUGGUGAAAUGCGUAGAGAUCGGGAGGAACACCAGUGGCGAAGGCGGCCGGCUGGGGGUGCCCUGACGCUGAGGCGCGAAAGCGUGGGGAGCGAACCGG
RNAcentral lists this ribosomal RNA (253 nucleotides) under uncultured bacterium. RNAcentral's name for it is "partial 16S ribosomal RNA". It matches the Rfam family "Bacterial small subunit ribosomal RNA", at positions 524 to 776 of the family's 1533-position model. The record is from RNAcentral.